AGCCCAUCAAGGUGUGUGCGUGUGCGUCACCCAAUGAGGAAGUAUGUGCAUUGACACGCCCAGUUAAAGAAGUAGUUCGGCGCGUCAAGUGCAGCGUCUCGACCGAGGAGAAACAUAUGAAUUAAAAAAAAAGAUGAAGUAUUCGGUUGUUUUAUUCGGCCUCAGUGUGGUGGUGUUGGUCGUUGUGAUUUUCCAGGGUUUGCGCCAAGAGAUGGAAUAUCGCGAUGUUCAAUUCCGCACGCUCACGGACUGGGCAUUGUCCAAAGCUGAGGAGAAAUCCAUCGAUUUACUAAAACCCCAAGUCAAGCAGCUGCAGGACAACUUGGAUUCCAUCAAGGGCAGGAUAGAGGAGCUGAAGAAACGCAAAGUAGCAGCUCAGAAAACAGAGAAGGAACAUACAAAGACCUUACAGACUUGCAAUGAAGAUAAGGAAAGCAAGGUGAAGAAUAAGAAGGCUGCCACAGACUCCAUUGCUACACUCAAAGCUGAUCACGCAGUGGAAAAAGCAAAAGCAGAGGAGGAAGUGCAAGGCUUGAAACAACAUAUUUUGGAUCGGGACAAAGCUAUUUGCAUUUUUGCUGAUCCCAGCAUUGCAGAAGCACGGACACUCUGUGGCAUCAAUGCUCCUCAAUAAAGACAACUCAGAAAAAGAACUACGCUUACUCUGAACUUGCACAAGAGCCACAAACUCAGGGCUUCGGACAAUCCACUACACAAAUUGGCGUCACGAACAGGAUGGUUUAGAAGCUACAGGUCGACAGCCGCUCCCGCUCUCUCAGUCAGGCAGACAGUGUGCUGCACGCGCGCAUAACAAGAAGGAACUUCCUGAUGUUGCCUGACAGCACGACAUCAGCUGACAACUACUGGGGACGCCUCCCAGGAACGAGUGGAAGAUGGGGACUGCUCCAACAGUCCUAGCACUGGCUGACUGAGGUGCGUCCGUGUGUCCUGCCACCCAAACCGCCAAAGUGUAUGAUCACCAAUUAGACGACUCAUAAUAGGAGCCUUUUGACUCUUAUAUAUGGUGGGACUCGAGGUAUGGCCGCUCAUGUGAACUAUCCUUACAACAAUUAGAAUGGUAUAAGAUGGACAACUAAUGACCCACAUUGUUCCCUCUGUCCUGCCUACGAAACCAAAAAUUUAGGUCAAAUGAUAAAACAGGGCGUAGCUGCCGCUGAUUGAACCGAUACGCAAAUACCACAUUUUCAAUUAUUUCGGUUGUCUGUUAAAAACAAAGCUAUUGGUUGCAAUUUGGACACUCCUGCUGUAGGCUACAAGGAGCUAGCAGCUACACAACAGCUGAGCUCAAAUAAAAUUUAAGCAUAUCAAAAAAAAAAAAAUUGUAGUUGCUUAUUACAUACACAAAGUCGCAGAGAGACAGAAGUCUGUAGAAAGUAUUCAGUAACAAACGUGUCCGCAUUAUUAAACUUUCUACCACAGGAAACAUACUGAACAAAUACAGCAGUUACUGUCAGACUCUAAUCCGGAUUACCUUGUCUAUCAGAGACAUGGUUAAAACCCACAACACCUUUCGUUCUAAUUAAUGUCCCGGGGGAUAAGAUUACAGAAAAGACAGAUCGAGUGACAAAGGGGGGAGGAAUUAUGAUUUAUGAAAGGAAAAACAUUAAAAGUAGAUCAAUUUGAGUAUGUUGAAAUUAAAAUCACAUUUUCCUCAGAAAUGUAUUUCAAGGUAAUUGUAGUAUACCGACCGACCACAGCUAAAGACAUUUUUCUUGAUUCAUUUUCAGACAUCCUCAAACAGCAUAGUAUGAAAGAAGUAACGUCAUGGGGGGCGUUAAUCUGGACUGGUUAAAUAAAACACGUAGAAAGAAACUUAAGGAUAUUAUAAACGGCUUCUACAUGAUACAAAGGAUAAGCAGCCCUACUAGAAUUACAAUUGGAUGACAAAAAUCAAAGAGAACAUCUGUAAAUACACGAAUACAAAACCAGAAAGAAGAGUGCUAAAAUAAAAAUACCAUUGGAUUAAUAAAACAAUUUGGAUUCUAAUAAAGACAUGAGGACUCAGCUCUCAUAAGAGCAAUUAUAACAGGUCUAAAUACAGAUCGUAUGAUUUUAAAAGUUUUGAAGAACAAAUUUACAAUGUUUAUGCGGAAGUCUAAGGCUGACUUUCACUUAGAAUUAAUCAAAGCUGCAAAAGGGAACAUUAGAGAGUUAUGGAAAACCAGAAAAAAACUUACGGAAAGAGAGCAAACAAGAAACAACACUAUAACAUUAAAUAUCAAUGGCGCUACUAUCGCAGACAGUCUGGACAUAAGUAAUAAUUUUAAUGAACAUUUCAUCCAGUCUGUACAAACCCUGAAUAAAAAGUCCCUCAAAAUCAGUGCAAAUAAUUGUCAUUUAUUCAGGAUGGACUAAUUUUAGAAUUAACAAAUGAAACAAAGUUAAACAAAAUGUUCGCUGCAUUAUCAGACUCACGAUCUAGAGAUAUAUAUAUGGGUUGGACACUAUCUUCCUAAAAACAUAUAAGGAUUGUAUUAUUGCUCGUAUAACAACGAUUGAUAAAUAAAUCAAUAACGGAAAACACUUUCCCUACCACGUCGAGAAACUGCUACUAUGAUUAAAUUCAUAAAGCAGGAAAUAAAGAAGACCAGAACAUGUACAGACCAAUUAGCCUUCUCCACGUUAUAACAAAAGGAAUAGAAAAUUUGAAGUUAAAAAGUGGCUUUGGAGCAAUCAAGGCUGCUCAGACGGUCGCUAAGAGGGGCAUUAUGUUGACAAAUCAAUUUAAUGAGUAUUAUAUUUAUCCAUGAGAGCAUUUUUGUUGUAGAUUGUAAGGUAUGGCUGUUAAAAUCUUGGUUGUUUUUACGAAUGAUGACAGAUGUGAACAAGAGCAUGUAUUGUCUUUGUGUGAUGAUGUAAAUAAGGUGUGGUUGUAUUGUAUGUUAAGUAUGUGUCCAUGAAGGGGCAUUUUAGGACUUCUCUUAAUCUGAUUACAUGCUACAGUAUGAUUAUUUUUUUUAUUAAUUAUUAAUUACUAUGAAUGUACAUAUUUAUUAUGAUUAAUUAGUGUCAUAAUUUUAUUGCUUGAUUUUUGGAUCCCUUUAAUUUAGGUAGCCAGGGACUGCAGAUGGAAAGUAGCUAUUUAGAUAUAAUCUGGUACAGAACAUAUCUGUUUCUGAACUUAAUGUUUCUGUGCAUUGUCCCAUCAUAGAUAGACUAAAUUAAAUACAACUAUUUAGUGAAUUAUUGUGGCCACAAUAAUUCACUAGGUGUUGUAAAAUAUCAAAGUACUAUUGCAAAAGCGAACAGUGACCUCAAACAUGACCUGUCCUCCGCCUCUGUUCUUGCUACACUUGACUAUCAGCUGCCUUUUCUUUUUCUUGGAUGUUUCUGAAACUACUAAUACUACUACUACUAUUACUAUUACUACGACUAACACUGUCCCUGUGAGAGGGACAGAGGGGGAGGUGAGUUUGGAUUGGGUCAAGUUUGAGCGUGUUGAGGUUUUAUUUAAUCGAUAUGAUCAAUCCGGUACAAGGAUAAAGGAACGUAAUGAUUUAGAUUGACAAUUGCAGUGGUUGGCGGAAGCAACCCCACCCUCAAAGGAGGGUGCCAAUUCAGUAAUUAAAUGUUUUGUGAAUUAUCUAAUAUCCCAACAUGGCUUCCCCAAAAAGACAACGGCACCUAAUUUAAGAAAACAGGUUAAUCUUCUUCAGUCACAAGAUCAGCACUUCUCAGGACCAGCAGCUUCCUAGGAAGGUGGAAAGACCAUGAGACCAAAAUGGUAAGUUUGCAAAAUGUAGAAUUUGUGUGCCAGUUCCUCUGUGCAGAUUUGAGGAUGAAAGCAGCCACUCCAGAUUCCCUUGCACUCGCUAAGAGGGGCACGGUCAAAGCCAAUCCAGGACCAACACCCGAUACCUGACUGGAAGGAACCGAGAGGAGAGACAACACCUUGCCAGUGAUGACGAGAACAACUAAGGUUGCCAGCCAAUGUGUCCACCAGGACUCCAGCAGCUGUGGAAAGAAGUGUCGUGAGUGCCGAAGCGGCGAGGAGGCCUAGAAGCAAGCCGAGGGCCUGGACCAAAGCCCCACGCCCCAUACUCUGCCCCCGCCCCCACAGCUCCAACUUUUUCUCAACUUUUCCCCAAAGCGGCCAGCGCGCACAUGCCAUUGCACAGUCUGCCCAAUGGACUGAACCACACCCCAAGAAGAGACAGAGACAGACUGUUUGAGUGGAUCUCUUUCUUCACCAAGGCAGCCAAAAGCCCAACGAGGUGUCGGCAGGCCACCAGCCUGAGGCACCACCGAGCCAUCUAUACGAGCACUAAUCGAACAUGGACUCAUACGAAAUUCAGUUGUGUGUUCAAAAUCAAUUGAUAAUUAACAAUAUUGGUAACUACAUUCAUUGCAAAUGCCGGGAAAAAUAUUUUUGCAAAUGUUUUACAGUCAUAAGUCUAUAUACAUUCAUCUAUGUAUGUUCAAUGAUGUUCAUGAUCAAAGUAUUUGUUAUUCCUUUACUAAAUCAAAGGGUAGGCCACUAAUUGUGUUCUGUGAGAUGGUUUUACUGCAGGCUGGUAACAGCGAUCGCUCUGAAGGAGGGUCAUAGACGGAAUUUUUGCCUCGUAUAAAAACAUUGAGGUUUUUGCCUCUAUCUGUGGUAGAGAUUAGUGGUCUACAUCAGAAAUUGUUUUGGUCCAGGGUCUUAAGACCCUGGAAGGCGGGUAUGUAGUAGAAUUUCUGACCUUUGACCUAUAUUUCUUGUCUUUUAAGAAUGUCCGCUCAUUUUCAAUUCUCUUCUAUUUUGUGCCAUUGAAUGGACCAGUUGUGGGACAAAGGUGAAUAUGGAGUUAUGCCAACCUGUCUACAGAAUGUUUAGAUUUUCCAAAUAUGACUAGGAGAUACAAGGUUGUUUUGGAACAGACAAAACCAAAACAAAACAAUCGUGGCGCAUUAGAUAACAAACAAUGACGCACAAGAGACAUAUAAAAAAUGGCAGAAGACCGGAACUCGACAGUGAUUUUGGCUUGUGUGUGUCUUGUUUACUCCGGAGUAACAUGUGGUCUGUCUGCACGGCUAACUUAAUUCAACCUGCACUUCUGAUAAUGGGUAAAUAAAUUUGUUGUACUAAACUACUUUUGUUGCCUGUUUAAGCUUCGGACAAUCCACUACACACAUCUUAAGCAUGAAUGCAUUAACAUAUUCCUAGGCACCGCAUUGACUGUCUACUCGUAUUUCAGCAGCAGAAACAACGACGAAAACAAGAAGCCAAAUCAUUGUUCUACAUACUCUUGCUCCAAUCUGUGGACCGUGGAAAAUGGUCACUUUUCCCAA
Entelurus aequoreus (snake pipefish) is the source of this 5292-nucleotide RNA transcript. RefSeq lists it as uncharacterized. The record is from RefSeq and is a predicted model, not a curated record. NCBI's taxonomy places the organism in Eukaryota, Metazoa, Chordata, Actinopteri, Syngnathiformes, Syngnathidae. The transcript has 6 exons.